Phyllostomus discolor (pale spear-nosed bat) is the source of this 835-nucleotide long non-coding RNA. RefSeq lists it as uncharacterized. The record is from RefSeq and is a predicted model, not a curated record. The transcript is spliced from 3 exons. NCBI's taxonomy places the organism in Eukaryota, Metazoa, Chordata, Mammalia, Chiroptera, Phyllostomidae.
UUGCCUCUCACACAUGUGUCAACCAGGGGCCAGGCCUGCAACCCAAGCACGUGCCCUGACUGGGAAUCAAACUGGUGACCUUUUUUGCUUUGUGGGACGGUGCUCAACCAACUGAGCCACGGUGAUUAGGGCUCCACAUUUUCUUUACAGCUCUUAUCACUCUCUGAAAUGAGCUAGUUUAUUACGUUUUGUUUCUCCACAAGAAUGUAGACCCCACAUGGGCAAGGAUCUUGUCACCACAGUGUUCCCAGGGGUUGGGACAGUACCUGGGAUAUUUUAGGCACAUGGCAAAUAUUUGUUGAGUGUGUUAAUGAUUUACAUUUAGAGAUGAUUGGUUAGGCAUUUACUGGUCAUUUACAUGUUGAUAGCAAUGUAAGAAUAAUUUCUUUUAGAAACAUUUAACUGGCCUCUACCGGGGGCCAGGUACUAGGGAUUAAAGCUGAACCAUAUCCUGUCCACAGAGUGUUCCUUGACAAAUAUGAAUUAAAAUAUAGGAUGAUAAGGUUUAUAACAGUAUGUGAUACAACAAAGAGUAUGUGCUUGAAUCAGACAGGAAUGAUUAAAUGUGUGUGUGUGUGGAUGUGUGUAUGGUUGGGUGGUGGAGAGUCAAGAAUAGUUAAUAUUUAUAUUAAAAAGGGUCUGAUCUCAGUAGCACAAUAUUGGUCAAAGUUUCAGAACAGUAUGUAUACUUUUAUGUUUAAUAGACAGUAACAUAAAACAUUGUAUAUUUUCUGUGGGUACAUAUAUAGAAAUAUACAGGGUCCAACACAAAUAACACCCCUUUUUUACUACAAAAUUAUAAGCAUGUAACUCUGUAACAUAGCAGUAUCACACU